AUAUUGAAUUCAUCAACCCUAGAGAAGCGGAAGGGGGCAAGGAAACUCUCGCUCGCAUCCUCCAUAUCCACUACGAGAGAAGGGGUUUCUUGGGCUCAUCUCUCUCUCAAAAGGGUGUCGCUGGUUUUGGGCUGAAUUCUCACUCUCUCUCCGCAGAAUUCUGGUGAACGGAGGACACAAAUCCGGUGAGUACUUCGACCGACGACCUCUGCUGCUGCUCUGUUUUGUUGCCAUGGCCGAGGAAGCAGGUAUGUUCAUGGUCCAUCAAACCGUUGGUAGUGUACUAUGUUGCAAGUGUGGUAUUCCAAUGGCACCGAAUGCUGCCAAUAUGUGCGUGAAGUGCUUGCGUUCUGAAGUUGACAUCACAGAAGGUUUACAGAAGCAUGUUAUUAUCAUACAUUGCCCCGAGUGUGAUACCUACUUGCAGCCACCGAGAACAUGGAUUAAAGCCCAACUAGAAUCAAAGGAGCUCUUGACAUUCUGUGUGAAAAGAUUGAAGAACUUGAAUACAGUACGGUUGGUACAUGCUGAAUUUAUUUGGACUGAACCUCACUCCAAGAGGAUUAAAGUCAAGCUGAGAGUUCAGAAGGAGGUCCUCAAUGGAGCGAUACUGGAACAAUCUUAUACUGUUGAGUAUGUUGUGCAAGAACAAAUGUGUGAGUCUUGUUCUCGGGUUCAGGCUAACCCUGACCAGUGGGUGGCUGCUGUGCAACUGCGGCAGCAUGUUUCACACAGGAGAACUUUCUUCUUUUUGGAGCAGCUCAUUCUUAAGCAUGAUGCUGCUGUCCGAGCCAUAAGAAUUAAGCAGAUGGAUCAGGGAAUUGAUUUCUUUUUUGGAAAUCGCAGUCAUGCUGUGAAGUUUGUGGAGUUUGUGGGCAAAGUUGCUCCAAUUAAGAGUCGUCACGAUAAACAACUUGUGUCUCAUGAUUCGAAGAGCAAUAAUUACAAUUAUAAGUACACUUUCUCUGUUGAAAUCUGCCCAAUUUGCCGCGAGGAUCUGAUCUGUCUCCCAUCGAAAGUUGCUGUUAGUUUGGGAAAUCUUGGUCCGCUUGUGAUUUGUACGAAAAUCAGCAACAACAUUGCUUUACUGGACCCUUUUACCCUGAGGCACUGUUUUUUGGAUGCUGAUCAGUAUUGGCGAUCAUCCUUCAAGUCCCUACUUUCUAGUAGGCAGCUUGUGGAAUAUAUUGUAUUGGAUGUGGAGACUAUUUCUUCUGAAGUUAAUGUUGGUGGAUCUAAGUAUGUUUUGGCUGAUGCCCAAGUUGCUCGUGUAUCGGAUUUUGGGAAAAAUGAUACAAUCUUCUCUGUGAGAACACAUUUGGGCCAUCUUUUAAACCCUGGGGAUUAUGCUCUUGGUUAUGACUUGUAUCGAGCUAAUAGUAACGAUAUUGAAUUGGACAAGUAUAAAGGUCUUGUCAUCCCAGAUGUUAUUUUGAUGAAAAAGAGCUAUGAAGAGAAGCGCCAGAAGAAGCGUGGGAAGCCUCGUGCGUGGAAGCUUAAAUCUCUUAACAUGGAAGUUGAUGAUACUACUAGAGGUAGAGUUGAUGAGGAGAAGAUGAAUUCAGAGUAUGAACAAUUCUUGAGAGAUUUGGAAGAGAAUCCUGAUAUGAGGUUUAAUAUGUCUAUAUAUCGUAAUAAAGAGUACCAACCAUCGGAAAUGGCUUCAGUGACGGAUGGGGAGGAUCUGCCUUCUGUGCCUUUAGAAGAGUUGCUUGCUGAUCUUGAUUUGAGUGAUGAAGAAGAUGGGGAAGAUAGCAUGAGGGAAUGAACUGAAGUUUGUGGUGGUUUGAGUUGCUUCUUAGCCUUAUCACAGGUGUAUGUCGGUUACUUGUGACAGUAGACUGAAAUGCUCAUGGUACAAGGCUUCAGCACAUCAAUGUUUAGUAGAUGUCGCAUUGAAGUCAUCUUGGAGAUAUGAAAGAAGUUGUUAAGAGUUUAAAUGGUGGAAUUCUCAGGGUUUUGGUUUGAAAUCUUCAUGGCUGGUCUUGAGUUUGAUUUUGUUUUUGUUUUAUUUUUUUUCCAAGGACUGGUUUGAUUGUUUUCAUGUUUUCUUCCUAAUCAUUUUAUGGUUUUUUUAAUACAUGUUCCCAAAUGGUCUCUCUACA
RNA transcript from Camellia sinensis, 2105 nucleotides. It is a transcript of the gene named nonsense-mediated mRNA decay NMD3 family protein, with no coding region annotated. The record is from RefSeq and is a predicted model, not a curated record. NCBI's taxonomy places the organism in Eukaryota, Viridiplantae, Streptophyta, Magnoliopsida, Ericales, Theaceae.